This is a long non-coding RNA of Alnus glutinosa, 2284 nucleotides long. RefSeq lists it as uncharacterized. The transcript has 3 exons. Lineage: Eukaryota; Viridiplantae; Streptophyta; Magnoliopsida; Fagales; Betulaceae. The record is from RefSeq and is a predicted model, not a curated record.
UUUGCUCCGUAUUUUGCGCUUUUGAGAAGUUCUACAACAUUCUUCUUCCCGUGCAUAAACAAAACCGCAUUUCACUAUCGGUGUUCAUCGGAAUCGCUGUUGUCACCCAUCGUCUAAAAACGAUUACAAUUUCACAAUCACUGGCUGGGUUCGUCGAAAGCCAUUUCGUCGGAGGCUGUGGUUUCGAGUUGUUGUAGGAAGAGGAAGUCUCGAAGUAGACAAGAUGCAACUCUAUCAGUUGCUAAGACCCUCGCCAAGUGAGAAGAGCAUGAUGCCCAGCUCGACUCUUGCAAUAGUGAGACUAAAUCAGUUUGUAAAGCUCCAUGUGUUGGGUUGAAGAAGGGAUGCAUGAAAGGAUAGGGAGGUCCUGAGAACUCAUCAUUUAAGUACAAAGGUAUUAGGCAAAGAACAUGGGGGUUUCUGAAAUUCGUGAGCUAAAGGAAAAAAGGCUAUGGCUUGGUACUUUUGAAAAUGAUGUUGAUGGUGCCUUGUCUUAUGAUAAAGCUGCAAGAGCAAUGUACAGUUCUCGUGCCUGCCUUAACUUUUCAGAUGAUUGUUCAGUCACGACCGCAUCAAGCAUUUGUUUGACAGCAACUCCGGCAUUUUUUGAUUUUGCCACUACAUCAAACUGUUCUAGAGCCUCUGUAGCUGAGGAUAUAAAUGUGUGAAGUAAUAGCUUGCAUGCUGCAGUCAUUGAAGCUGUUGACACAGCCAUCACGUUUCCAACCAUUACGUUUAUAUCCUCAGCUACAAAGGCUUCAGAAUAGUUUGAUGUAGUGGCAGAAUCAGAAUAUGCAGGAGUUUCUGUCAAACAGAUGCUUGAUGAGGUCGUGGCUAAACAAUCAUCCGGAAAGUUGAGGCGGGCACAAGAACCGUACAUUUCUCUUGCAACUUUAUCAUAAGACAAGGCAACAUCAACAGCAUUUUCAAAAUUACCAAGCCAGAGCCUUUUUCCCCGUUGGCUCACAAAUUUCAACAACCCAUUUACCCCAUGUCCUCUGCCUAACACCUCUGUACUUAAAUGAUGAGUUCUCAGGACCUUUCUUUCCUUUCAUACAAUUGUUCCUCUCCACCCCCUUAAGUGCCUGGUGCCCCCACCAGCUUCCCUGCUCUGGUUGCUUUUUUGUUUGGGUGUUUGGAGGUCAGAUCUACUGCUACCCACCAUCAUCCACAUGCCUCUCCACCGCCUUCUCCGAUCUACGCUCUUCCAUUCUCUAGCCUCUAAUCUUUGGCUUUGGAAUAGGCUGGGUUAAGCUUGCCCAUUCUAUUCGAGAUAACUUCUUUGAAUUAUUCCCAGCUACAGUUAAAUCAAACAUUUGGGAAGAGGAAGUCCCGAAGUAGACAAGAUGCAACUCUAUCAGUUGUUGAGACUCUCGCCAAGUGGGAAAAGCAUGAUGCCCAACUCGACUCUUGUAAUAGUCAAACUAAAUCAGUUCAUAAAGCUCCAUGUGUUGAGUCGAAGAAGGGAUGUAUGAAAGGAAAUGGAGGUCCUGAGAACUCAUCAUUUAAGUACACAAUUAUUAGGCAGAGGACAUGGUUGCUAAAAUUCGUGAGCCAAAGGGAAAAAUGCUAUGGCUUGGUACUUUUGAAAAUGCUGUUGAUGCUGCCUUGUCUUAUGAUAAAGUUGCAAGAGCAAUGUACAGUUCUUGUGCCCGCCUUAACUUUUCGGAUGAUUGUUCAGUAACGACCGCAUCAAGCAUCUAUUUGACAGCAACUACGGCAUUUUUUGAUUCUGUCACUACAUCAAACUGUUCUAGAGCCUCUGUAGCUGCGGAUAUAAAUGUGAGAAAUAAUAGUUUGCAUGCUGCAGUCAUUGAAGCUGUUGAAGAAGAAUUGAUGGCAUUUCAAAGUGUUUUUGGGAUGACAGACAAGAGUAUUCUAUGAAUGAAAUGUUUUCUUUGGAGGAAGUUGACGCCUCUUUGACACUAGUCCUCUCCCUGAUAUUGAAUCGGUGUUGGCUAAUGAUGCUGGUCAGCUUUGGUUCUCUGCCAUUGAGAUUCUGAAUGAUAUGGCAGCAGACACCUUCAAGAGUUGAUAGGUUUUGAGUUAUAAAUAGGCAGAGGAGUAUUAGAAUUAUUAGAUGAUUUAUCAGAUUUCUCAUUUUGAGUUGAGGGGAUAAUGGAUGUUAGAUAGGAGGCAGACUUGGAUUCUUUUUUGGCUGACUGAGCUAAUUCUUUAAGGGUUUUAGAUUGGGAAAUUAGUUUUAUUAUAUUUUUUGUGUAACAAUUAUACCACUUUAGGAUACACAAUCUUCAAUUGAAUAUUAAACAAAGUUUAUUUUUGA